UGAUUCAAUUUUAAGAAGGUGUCU
This 24-nucleotide non-coding RNA is filed under the name Mus musculus (house mouse). RNAcentral also lists the same sequence under 1 other name. Lineage: Eukaryota; Metazoa; Chordata; Mammalia; Rodentia; Muridae. The record is from RNAcentral.